GAAAUAAAAUAAAAAGACCAAAACAGCGAGCGUUAGAGAAGCAGUCCCUUUGUUUCGAAGGGAAUUUGCAUCUCUUUCGUCGUCAUCUUCUUCUUCUAUAUCAAGAAAAACAAAAUCUAUAUUACAUUGUUUUCCUCUUCUAUCAAACACUCCCGUAUACACCCGAAUACUCAUUCACCUAACCAUAAAGUCAUCAGCUUUUUCAUUUUUUUCUCAAUACUGAAUAAAGAAACACAGAAUCUGAUUCUCUUUGGUUUUAGUUUUUUGCUUGAUGAUCAGUGACAGACAAUGGCUGCAAUGAUUGCUAAGUCUAGGAUUAACCGGGAUGAUGAUAAUAAAAUUAGGAGAUUUCAAGGGGCUUCCUUGAAUUUUUCAUUGCAUGAAACAAGGGAAAGAGUUAAGAAGUCCCGGCAAAAUAAGUUUAAUGAGGUAGUAGCAUCUAAGAUGAGAAGGAAGAUUUCGUGUAAGAAAGUGGAAGUGAUUCAAUUGUCAUCAGAUAGUGAUGAUGAUGACUGGUCUCCCCGAAGGAGAAAGAAAGCUCCGAAUAGGAAACUUAUAUUAGCCGCGGAAAGUGAACUUUCAGAGAGUGAUGAGGAGUGCUCACCUUCGGAAAGAAGGAACGAUUUGUCUGAGAAAAUUAAGCCAGCCCCGGAGAUUGAAUUGUCGAAAAGUGAUGACCAGUGGUUUCUUGGAGCAAGAAGGAAAGAUUCAUCUAAGAAAACUAAUCCAGCCCCAGAGAUUGAAUUGUUGAAAAGUGAUGAUCAUUGGUGUCUGGGAACAAGAAGGAAAGCUUCAUCUAAUAAAACUAAGCCAGCCUCAGAAAUUGAAUUAAUGAAAAGUGAUGAUCAACAGUGUCUAGGAACAAGAAGCAAAGCUUCAUCUAAGAAAAUUACGUUAACCCCAGAUGUUGGAUUUUCAGGGAGUAAUGGUGAGUUGCCUCAAACAAGAGUCAAAACAUCAUCUAAGAAAAUUAAGUCAACUUCAGAAAUUGAGUUGUCAAAUAGUAGUGAUGAGUGGUCACCUCGAGCGAGAAGAAAAACUUCAUCUAAAAAAGUGAAGCCAGUUACGGAAUCUGACUUUUUGGAGAGUAAUGGGUUUCCAAAGAGGCAGCAGAAUGGUUUAAAAAAGCGUAGCAGAAGCAGUUCUGUAGGUGUAGGUUUUGAUGUUGACUCGGAAGAGGAUGUGUUGGAAGCAAUUUGUCUUGUAAAAAUGAGAGAGCGAAUAAGAACUAGGAUUUCAAUUACUGAGAUGAACGAGAGGAGUCUGAAGGAGGCCAGAGAAAAAAAUAUAGAUUCUAUGAAUUCUUCUUUCUGUGCUUCUUCUUCUUCAGAAUCAGCUUCUUCUAGCUUAUCAGUUUCAGUUUCAAAACAUGAUGGUUAUAGCAAUGGUGUGUCUGCAGCGAGAAAUGUGAAGGCCAAAGGACAAGAAAUCAAACUAUGUCAUCAGUGCAUGAAAAAAGAAAGAAGAACUGUUGUUGUUUGUAAGAAAUGUGAAAGAAUGUACUGCAUACAGUGCAUCAAGCAAUGGUAUCCUGAGAUGACAGAAGGUCAAUUUGCGGAACAAUGCCCAUUUUGUUGUAAAAAAUGCAAUUGCAAUGUGUGUUUGCACUCGAGUGGAUUGAUUAAGACAUCCAAAAGGAAUAUCACCAACCAUGAAAAGGUUCGGCAUCUGCAUUAUUUGAUCAAGUCACUACUUCCUUUUCUGGAACAAAUCUGUGAUGAACAAACUGAAGAAGUUCAGAUUGAGGCUGGUAUUGGAGAUUUCCCUGUUGAUAUAGCUGAGAACUUUUGCUAUAGCAAUGAGCGUGUUUAUUGCAACUACUGUGCCACUUCCAUUGUUGACUUCCAUCGCAGCUGUCGAAAAUGUGCUUAUGAACUAUGCCUCAGUUGUUGUCGAGAAAUUCGAAAGGGAAGCCUUUCAAGUCGUGCUGAAAAAAGUUUUUGGUAUGUGGAUAGAGGCUUUGAUUAUAUGCAUGGUGGAGAUCCACUGCCUUGUCAAUACCAAAAUCCUUAUGACCACAGUGAGUCUCUGGUUCUACCAUGGAAUGCCAGUGAAGAUGGGAGCAUUUCUUGCCCUCCACAAGAAUUGGGUGGUUGUGGUGAUUGUUUAUUGGAGCUAAAGCGUAUCCUUCCACUGGGAUGGGUUGCAGAGUUGAAAAAAAGGGCAGAAGAAUUAUUGGGAAUCUGUGAUACUGAACAGGCAAGUUUGACGUGCAAGUGUAAUGAAGCAGGGGAAGGGGUGUUGAGAAGAGCAGCUUUUAGGGAAGGAUCUGAGGACAAUUACUUGUAUUGUCCUGCUUCAAAGGAUAUUCUUGAGUAUGAACUUUUUCACUUCCAAAAGCACUGGGUUAAAGGUGAGCCAGUUAUAGUUCGUGAUGUUCUCGAGCAGACAACUCAUUUGAGCUGGGAGCCAAAGGUCAUGUGGCGUGCAUUAUGUGAAAAUGUGGAUUCACAUAUUAGUUCAAAAAUGUCUGAAGUGAAGGCUAUUGAUUGUCUGGCUUGUUGCGAGGUGGAGAUCAAUACCCGGCAGUUUUUUAAAGGCUACACGGAAGGGAGAACAUAUCAUAACUUUUGGCCUGAAAUGCUUAAGCUCAAGGACUGGCCUCCAUCAGAUAAAUUCGAAAAUCUUUUGCCACGCCACUGUGACGAGUUUAACAGUGCACUGCCAUUUCAAGAAUACAGUGAUCCAAAUGCUGGAAUCCUUAAUGUUGCUGUGAAGUUUCCAGCAGAUCACCUGCAACCAGAUUUGGGUCCAAAAACUUACAUUGCAUAUGGUACAAGAGAAGAGCUUGGAAGAGGGGACUCAGUGACCAAGCUUCACUGUGACAUGUCAGAUGCGGUAAAUAUUUUGACACAUACUGCUGAAGUAGCAUUAAGUCAAGAACAGUGCUCCGCCAUUGAGCUGUUGAAAAUGAAGCACAGGGCUCAGGAUGAGAAGGAAUAUUUAGAACAAGACAAGGUAGACAAUCCUCACAUUGAACUUGAUCAGGGAAAUGAUAGUUUGAAAGAAGAGAUGGGUGUCUCAGAAAUUAGAGAGCCACAGAAGCCCCCCUCUGAAAUUAAUGAACAACUUGAGAACACUGAAGAUGUGUUAAGAGGAGCUACACUUUCUGGUUUGCCCUCGGAAGUGGAGACUAUGGACAAAACAGGUGGCGCCGCCUUGUGGGACAUUUUCAGAAGGGAGGAUGUUCCCAAGUUAGAGGAAUAUUUGAGAAAGCACCACAGAGAAUUCAGGCACAAUUACUGUGCCCCUGUAGAACGGGUCGUUCAUCCAAUUCAUGACCAAUGUUUCUAUUUAACUGUGGAGCAUAAAAGGAAACUGAAGGAGGAAUUCGGAGUUGAAGCCUGGACAUUUGAACAAAGAGUUGGAGAGGCUGUAUUUAUACCUGCUGGAUGCCCACACCAAGUAAGGAAUCUACAGGAAAAGUGCUUUCUCGUAGAAAGCACAGCAUGAAUGAUGACACAAAGUAAUCAUCCCAUUGAAUUGUGGCUCCACCCUUGUCGGUCCCACAAAUCAAAGUCUGAUAAUUCUGUGUCAUGAUUCAUGAAGCAAAAUUCAUGCUGUAUUGCAUGGCUCAUCUAAAAAUAUUCUGGAGUUCGGAUGAUAAUUUCUGUCUAACAAUGAAAGGAUCAGGAAAUUUCCCAUCACCCCUGUUCGAUAAUAGCCUUUCACAACUAAUGGCAAUAAUAGUUAUCUAGCCUAGUAUAGACACAAUUUCGUCUUCAUUAAUUUUUUUUCAGAAAUAAUUUUUUUACUAAAAAAAGGAAUUGAAAGUACAAAAUAGUCUUUGAAAUUGUUAGAAACUUUUUUGUUGUUUUUUCCUCUCUUCUAAACAACAACCAAGAGCACUAGUGUUUUCAUCAAACCUUUAUGAUUCUAAAUUUGUCCCAGUGAGUUGUGUCAACUUUUAGAUUGUUUUCAAAAACAUUUAGGAAAACUAAUGCUCUGUCUAUGAAGAAUGCUUUCUUUCCUCCUUUUGUUUUGUUCCAACAUACGUUCAUUAUCAAAAUGGCAAAGCAUUAAUUCUCUUAUUUCCAGUUUUAUUCCAAAAAAAAAUGUCUAUUGCUGGAGUGUCUUCUUUCUUAUUUACUCUCUCAAAAAUCAAACUUCAAUGAAUUUUUUUACUUUCAAUGUGAAAGGUAACGCUGUGAAGUUCAUAAAGAGUAGACAUGUCAUGAGACAUGACAUUUUCUACGUAUUUUAAUGUGUUCUUAACAUGGUGUGCAUAUUAAAUACCAUACCCUUAUAGUUUUCUACCAAGUUGAAUAGGAUGCUCUUGGUAGGAUAGAACAAAACUCUAUCUAAUCAACAUCAACACAACAAUAGAAAGAAAAUCUCUCGGUCAAAUUUUCUUCUCGUCCGCUCUAAACUCUACUUUUAAAUGAUCCAAUACUCAUCUAGUCAAAUUCUCUCUUUUGUUUGUCUUGAAAGAAAGUAUCUUAGUUUGGAACCUCUCCUCCACUCAAGCAUAUUGAAUGUGUCUCCUUUUAUGGUUUGUUUGUCUCAGUGGUUGAAACUUGAUUUGUUUGUCUCGGUGGUUGAAACGAUUUCAACCACCGAAAAGCAUCAAUUAAUGUUUUUUGAUGGUUGAAACAGACAGACACUCUUACCACCAAUGACUAGGGUAGCCCCCUCACUCCAAAUUAACCAGACUUGGAGAUGUAGGGGGUUUUGAACAGUCAGAUAUGAAUAUGUUACAAUAUGACCAGAUGAUAAGCACAAUUGGAUCACUUGAAAAGCCUGACUGACAUAAUUUUUUAUCCAAUCGUUGGAUCUUGCUCAAAUUUUAUCAAGAGAUUCUAUGGACGUUGUUCUACACGGGACCAGCUAGCCUUGCGGCUCACAUCAAGAAGGCCUUCAAAAAAUCUUGCACAAAAGUUGCUGUCGACUUCGUCUCACCCGAAAAUAUAAGGGAAUGCCUCCGGUUAACUGAAGAGUUUCGACAACUUCCAGUGAACCAUAGAGCUAGAGAGGAUAAACUAGAGGUAA
Molecule: RNA transcript, 4989 nt
Organism: Populus trichocarpa (black cottonwood)
Lineage: Eukaryota; Viridiplantae; Streptophyta; Magnoliopsida; Malpighiales; Salicaceae
Gene name: lysine-specific demethylase JMJ26
Exons: 13
Source: RefSeq, a predicted model, not a curated record